Molecule: long non-coding RNA, 1222 nt
Filed under: Chinchilla lanigera (long-tailed chinchilla)
Lineage: Eukaryota; Metazoa; Chordata; Mammalia; Rodentia; Chinchillidae
Description: lncRNA (ENSCLAG00000025191.1)
Source: RNAcentral
AGCUGAGGCAAAUCUCAACAGGCUGCCAAACAGUUGUAAUUCAACAGCACUGACUCCUGCUGUUGGAAUGGAGGACCAUGCUGAAUGAUGAGAAAGCUGGCGCAUCUUGGCAAACUUCCCAGGCAUCCGCCCUGGGCGAGCUGAGGGGCAUGUAUCAUACUUUCAGAGGGAUGGUGCAGAAGGGAAACUGCAGAGCAUGGAGAAGUGGCACCCAUCCGGACCAUAACUCCCUGUAGUCAAAGAGGUACUUAUCCUUCCUGAGGAAGAAAUUGUGAAAUUCCCAGGCCAUACUUAGCACGGAGGGUCUGAAUGAGUGGCACUGUCCUGUCCUUAAGACUGGAAUUAGGCCCAAGUAGGUAGGAACAAGGAAUUUCCAUUUGUCACUUCUUCCAAAUUUCUCAAGGCAACCAGCUAUGGCCCUAGGUGCUACUGACAGAACUGAAAGCACGAUAGUGUUUCUUCCUAAGGAAAGGACCCAGUGGAGUGAUCUGUACAAAUUAUGCAGGUGCCUCACAAAAGCCAGGGUACACAUCCUGCACUUUAAGAGGUGUUAGGAGAAAAAACCUUUUGAAGCUUACUUGUCUAUGGAAAAAAGGACAUUCGGGGAAGCCAUGGAGAUGUAAGUCACAGGAAGAAAGAUAUCUAAUGAAUCACAGAGCAUUAAGAUGCCACCACAAGUAGCCAGCAUCACUCAGGUCACACAGCACUCCAGAUGUAGGAGCAAGUGUCAUUCUCCAGACAGCACCAGGGGAGUGGGGCAGCAGACAGCAGCACCACCAUUACCUCAAGCCAAAGCUCAGUCAUGGGAUGCUUGAGCCUUCGAUGAAUUCUCAAGACCACAGUCAGACUACGGACCAGCUCUGAAGUGAUUAACAGUUCUUCUUAAAACUGCCUUAUCAUCAUAUCAACUCAGGCAGCCAAAAAAUGUCAGCCUUGGCUCGAAAGCAUUUGUCAAGUGAGAGCCUCCGAGUUCAUCAGGAAAGCCAGCAUGACAAACUCCUCCACAAAAACCAGCAGCUUCCCAACUGCUUCACAACAGCUUCCAACAGCUUCUACCAGCUCCCAACAUCCUCUGAACUUCUUUUUCUCCAGUUCUGCCUCUUAUGCUGCUGGCAACAACCCCCAGGUGGGCCUCCCACACCCGGCACCAUGCUGGUUCAGUUCAGCUGGGGGUUACAAGUUGACCACCAGUUGUCAAUCCACCACAUUUACUCUCUUGUUU